UACGAAGGGGGCUAGCGUUGCUCGGAAUCACUGGGCGUAAAGCGCACGUAGGCGGAUCUUUAAGUCAGGGGUGAAAUCCUGGAGCUCAACUCCAGAACUGCCUUUGAUACUGGGGAUCUCGAGUCCGGAAGAGGUGAGUGGAACUCCGAGUGUAGAGGUGGAAUUCGUAGAUAUUGGGAAGAACACCAGUGGCGAAGGCGGCUCACUGGCCCGUAACUGACGCUGAGGUGCGAAAGCGUGGGGAGCAAACAGG
Molecule: ribosomal RNA, 253 nt
Filed under: uncultured bacterium
Lineage: Bacteria
Description: partial 16S ribosomal RNA
Rfam family: Bacterial small subunit ribosomal RNA
Source: RNAcentral